AAAGAGCCAUACGGGCAUCUAGUGGUUAAACCAUGGCAUUACAUAGGAUUAUAUUAUAUUUAUUUAUUUAUUUUUUCUGGCCAAACAAAAGUCUCAAAUUUGAUACUUUGCACUGGAAUUUAAAAACAUUUUAUCUAUUUUAACCUAGGGCUGUGCAAAAAAUUAAAUGCGAUUUUCAUGCGCAUCUCAUCAGUAAAGACACUCCUGUAAUUAGUAGUAUAUCUCCAGCACAUGCGUUAAGAUCAGGGUUGCCAGGUUUUCACAACAAAUCCUGCCCAGUUGCUUCUCAAAACUAGCCCAAAACUAGCCCAAUCGCGUUUCCAGGAGGUUCCCCGAUAAAAAAAAAUGCAUCCCGGGGAUAAAAUAUAAGUUUUUUUGACAGGGUUUCCUUGGUAAAAUUUGCAUUUUAGGGGCUAAAUAUCACGUUAUUGGUAUUGGGGUUGCUUCAACCCGCGGACAUGAAAAACAACCGCAGACUUGGCAACACAUGUUCGCGGGCUGAAGUGACCACAAUACCAAUAACGUGAUAUUUAGCCCCUAAAAUGUAAAUAUUACCAAGGGAACCCUGCCAAAAACAUGUAUUUUUAUCGCCCGGAACGAAAAGCGAUUGGACUAGUUUUGAGAAGCAAAUGGGCAGGUUUUGUUUUGAAAACCUGGCAAUACUGAUCUGAACGCACGUGGUGGAGAUAUACUACUAAUCAUAGGAGUGCCUUUACUGAGGAGAUGCGCAUGAAAAUCGCAUUCGAUUUUUUGCACAGCCCUAUUUUAACCCUAAAUACUACGCUAAAUGUACUAAUAUAAACAAUAAGCAUCAUAAAGUUUAAGCACUGGCUCCAAUAUGAGGCUGUUCCUGAGCUUUUCCCAUUCUUAUGCAUGAUGGUGCUCCCAUUGCCAUUCACUCUUUUUCUCCUGCAAACUAUGCAUUGCUUUUGUGUUGGCAGAAAGAAUGCUCUCUGUAACUCAGUUUUGUCUCUGGAGUGUCUCUCUGUCACUCCAAAUUCACAUUUUUGCCUGUUUGGUUUCAGUCCUGACUUUUGUGCUUGUUUUAAUUCUUCACAGAGUCUUUUGUCAUUCUCAUUUUGCGUUUUUCCCCAUAUUAUGUCAUCCAGGAAUACUCUCACACCUGCCACACCAUCGAACAGCUGUUGCACUGUUCUGUGAAAUACCUCUGGUGCCGAAAAGAUACCAAAAGAUUCGUUUACAAACAAGGCACAAUUCAAUGCGGGAUUUUCAAAAAGAUUGA
Molecule: long non-coding RNA, 1243 nt
Organism: Cyprinus carpio carpio
Lineage: Eukaryota; Metazoa; Chordata; Actinopteri; Cypriniformes; Cyprinidae
Source: Ensembl